Molecule: long non-coding RNA, 260 nt
Organism: Oncorhynchus tshawytscha (Chinook salmon)
Lineage: Eukaryota; Metazoa; Chordata; Actinopteri; Salmoniformes; Salmonidae
Exons: 3
Source: RefSeq, a predicted model, not a curated record
GAUCACUGUUUCAAAAGGUGAGGUGGAAGACAGCAGGGAUCACUGUUUCAAAAGGUAAGGUGGAAGACAGUAGGGAUCACUGUUUCAAAAGGUAAGGUGGAAGACAGUAGGGAUCACUGUUUCAAAAGGUAAGGUGGAAGACAGUAGGGAUCACUGUUUCAAAAGGUAAGGUGGAAGACAGUAGGGAUCACUGUUUCAAAAGGUAAGGUGGAAGACAGCAGGGAUCACUGUUUCAAAAGGUAAGGUGGAGGACAGUAGGG